AUGGAUGUGGACAUGGCUUUCUGCUUCAGGAGGUUGUUUACAUUCAGGCCCAAGUUGGUGGGGGAGUUUCGGGUCACCUUGUUGGCAUUCCGCCCGUUGCUUUUCAUUUUUGUGGAGCCAAAUUUGGUGGCGGCGAAGCUGGCAGUGGUAAAGGUUAAAGGUUGGGUGGAACGGCGCAUGAAGGUGGGGCUGACCGCCGCCGACUGGCCAAACGGUGGGGACGGGGAACUGGAGCACCUUAACGGGUCCCUUCUCCCCAAUCUGAUAAGACACCUCGAAAGGAUCAAUCCAGACACUGAGGUCCUGAGGCAGGUUGUUGCGGACAUCCUCAAUGUCCAACCCACUUUCUUUGGCUGCUUGCUCUACAACUGGGUCCACUUUCUCCCCGACAUGUAUACACCUGAAUCCAGACCCUUUGUAUGGCUUGUCCGGGUACCAGUGUCCCUCGUAUUUCUGUUUCAGCUGUCUCUCCAACUCCUCGCCGAAAAUGUUGACACGUCGCCUGGGCAGCUUAUUGUACAAGUAAGAAAUUAUGAAGUUGAGUGCUACUUGGAUUUCAAGCUGCAUAGCUGCUGCGCUGCCCUGGAGAAUCACCAGCGUUGGCUGUUUGAAUUCGCGUAUUGUGUUGUAAGCCACCAGAGGGCAAGGCUCGGCUGGAGCCAGGCAAACAAACAGAAACUUGGGGGAAAACGGUUCAAAACAAAGUGCUGGUUGCAGAGGGAACGUCUCAGUCCACAAACGGCUGAUCCGGUUCCUAGAGAGAAGCAAAAACAAAGCGCGUUAUAAUAACUCCAGCUCAUUAUUCUCUGCUGGAAAUAAUAACUGGAACAUAGUACCGUCUGUCAGUUUUCUUAAUAGACAGUUCAUUAAAAUAACUUGAAUGUUUUGAUUAAACAGCUUGCGCAUUCAUAGGCUCAUGAGCAGAUUAGAUUUAACACAGGCACACAAACAAUCCUAAGCUUCAGUGCACUGGCUGAAUUUCCACUCAAGUUAAAUUCAAGACAACACCUUCUGUUGAGCAUAUAUAAGCGCUGAGCUAGUCCUAUAAUUGCAGUUUACCAUUAUAGGAAGGAUGCACUGGGACUCGCGGAGCUGAUAGAGUUACGUAAUAACUAACUUGCCCUGACUAGACCCUGCACGACUGUAACCAAUCUACUGCUGUCGCUGUCUUUAGCUCGUCAUGCAUGUUUGUAAAAUACACGGUGUGAGGAAAUCAAGAAUGCGAGACUUUAACAAUUAAGCCUAAACGUGUCACGAGGAGAAAUGAAAACCCAGUCAGCACGCGCACGUAUCCGCGUACGGUCGUCGAUGACGCGAAUAGAAAUAAAAAUGCGCUUGAAUGUUAAACCA
Molecule: long non-coding RNA, 1350 nt
Organism: Cyprinus carpio (common carp)
Lineage: Eukaryota; Metazoa; Chordata; Actinopteri; Cypriniformes; Cyprinidae
Source: Ensembl